UACGUAGGGUGCAAGCGUUGUCCGGAUUUACUGGGCGUAAAGGGCGCGUAGGCGGCGCGGUAAGUCACUUGUGAAAUCUCUGAGCUUAACUCAGAACGGCCAAGUGAUACUGCAGUGCUAGAGUGUGGAAGGGGCAAUCGGAAUUCUUGGUGUAGCGGUGAAAUGCGUAGAUAUCAAGAGGAACACCUGAGGUGAAGACGGGUUGCUGGGCCAACACUGACGCUGAGGCGCGAAAGCCAGGGGAGCAAACGGG
Molecule: ribosomal RNA, 253 nt
Filed under: uncultured bacterium
Lineage: Bacteria
Description: partial 16S ribosomal RNA
Rfam family: Bacterial small subunit ribosomal RNA
Source: RNAcentral